Non-coding RNA from Punica granatum (pomegranate), 1999 nucleotides. NCBI's taxonomy places the organism in Eukaryota, Viridiplantae, Streptophyta, Magnoliopsida, Myrtales, Lythraceae. The record is from RefSeq and is a predicted model, not a curated record.
UACAACACAAAUCUUAUAGAGAUGAAUUUCAAUAGUGAGUAUAUAUUUUAGAGACCAAUUUGCAUGUUGUGUCAAAUUUUUUGGGUAUCCUAAAAGCUGACGCUGAGAGCUGAUUCAAGAAGCAUCCCGCGAAUAUCGAACGGCAGAUAUAUAAGAUUGUCGGGCCGCCGCCAGAAUCAAAAAGUUCCCAUUUUCCUGUUCAAUCAAAUUCCUCUGUUGAGGAAGAGGAGGAGGAGGAGAAGCGAUGGACAAAGACAAGGCGGAGUUCUUGAAGGAGUUCAGCGACGGCUUCGGGGUAUCCCGAUGGUCCCAUAUCCGUUGAUGAAAUCCGGGCCACUGAGUUCACGCUAUUGGAGGGAGAGUCUGCUUCCUUUCUGUCACUCUCCAUCUCUCUUUCGCUGGCCACCUGAAUAAUUUGGUGGAAGCUUAUCUUUAAGGAGCUGACUACUACUUGUCUAUGGAAAUCCUCGUGUCCUGCUCUUCGCCAAACUUAUCUCUUUGGCCUUGUGAUUCAUUUUCUUUUGGUCCAAUUAGUUGCUCAAGAAAGAUUUGGUCUCUUCGGACUUUGGAUGGAUAAUCAUGAGACAACGGGACCCAUAACUUGCAUUUGUUUCCAAAGAUCCUACAAUUUUGCUUAUUUGAAGAUAUAAUUUCUCCAUUGCUGUGAGUUUCAAGUAUUCUCUUAAGUAUAGCUUUUCUCAGUUGUUUACAUCAACUUAUGUGCAAGCAUUGAAGGUCGAUGAAUUCUUUGACCUCGAGAAAGAGAGAGCCUGAGCGACACAAGCAUAGCGAUUUCUUUCUGACAUUGUGAGGGAAUCCCGGCAACAGGCAGGUACCAUAUUUUGGGCUUUUAGCUGUUUGAUUUGAUUCCUAAAAGAUAGUUGAUAGUGCACGACGUGGACUUGCUUGGGCAUAUUACUCUUCGGUAUGCUUGUCCAUAACAAAGAUGUGCAAAAAGCUGAUUUCGACCUCCAGGAAAAGACUUUCCAUUAUGCCUAAUGUGGUCUUUUAACUCAACUUUGCAAUCAUUACACCAAGUAACCCGAUUACAUUAGUUGACUCAAACAAAUCAGCACUCAAGGUGACAAUGGCAUUAGGUUAAUUUGGCGUCACAUCCUCAUCAGCUUUCUUAUUCUCGUGUACAAUGCAGGAGUUCAAAAUAUACUAAAAACAUCUCGUGCAUAGCACCAAAUGAAUAGAUUGGGGAUAUUGAUUAUUUCAUUAUCUAAAGGUAAGGGUAGUAUUGACUAAAGCAAUAUAGGAGAAAUGAAGUUUAGUACAACAAUGCCCUCUUUUGAUUCAGUAUAUAAUAGGUCUAAGAUUCAAUACUUAACAGUGAACUUUCGUACCCCUGUAUUUUUUCUUUUCCUAUAUCCAUGAGCAUCCAGUAUAAUCUAGAGAAAAAAACCUUGCGUGCUUAUUUUAUUUGUGUUAUAAUUAGUUAGAACUUAAAUUGAUAUGCGUUUUGUGCUAAAUUAAAUAGCUAUUAAUAUGUUUUUGUAAUUCUGUUAUGACACUGUUUCAAUUGGACAUAAUGCUAUCCUCUCUUGGUGCCAUUGCCAACAAGCACCGAGGUCGACUGAUUUGAGCACGUUGGGCAACAGUGGCAACCAUGACCCCUCAUAUGAGUUCCUUGGCGCUCUCUGACACCGCCACGACCUCAAACAGCGAAAAUGUGCUGGCUAGGCGAAUACCCUCAAUGUUUUUGUCACAUUUCCUCAUAAGUUAUGGAUCAUCUUUUAAGCAAGGAAGAUAAAGUUACUUGUCCUAUCAUAGCACCUUUUUUAAUAGCGUCCCUUAACUCCACCACUCAACGUUCUUUGAUUGUGAUUGGUAAUGGAGUGAAAUUGAACUCGUCUCCAUUCUAAAUAUAUAUAUAUGAGAUUAUAAUGUUCUUUGAUUAUAUGAGAUUAUAAUGAUCAUUAAAAAAUAAUAUGUGUACGAAUUUAUUAUUAAAUAGAAAAAAAAUAUCGAUUAUAUUAUUGAAUUUAUGAAAAAA